GCUGGGCAUUGUGGCGCAUGCCUGUAAUCCCAGCUACUUGGGAGGCUGAGACAGGAGAAUCACUUGAACCUGGGAGGCGGAGGCUGCAGUGAGCUGAGAUGGUGCCACUGCACUCCAGCCUGGGUGACAAAGUGAGACUCAGUCUCAA
This is an unclassified non-coding RNA of Papio anubis (olive baboon), 148 nucleotides long. It matches the Rfam family "Metazoan signal recognition particle RNA". From Rfam's summary of the family: The signal recognition particle (SRP) is a universally conserved ribonucleoprotein. It is involved in the co-translational targeting of proteins to membranes. The eukaryotic SRP consists of a 300-nucleotide 7S RNA and six proteins: SRPs 72, 68, 54, 19, 14, and 9. The record is from Ensembl. NCBI's taxonomy places the organism in Eukaryota, Metazoa, Chordata, Mammalia, Primates, Cercopithecidae.